ACUCCUACGGGAGGCAGCAGUGGGGAAUAUUGGACAAUGGGCGCAAGCCUGAUCCAGCAAUGCCGCGUGAGUGAUGAAGGCCUUCGGGUUGUAAAGCUCUUUCGCACGCGACGAUGAUGACGGUAGCGUGAGAAGAAGCCCCGGCUAACUUCGUGCCAGCAGCCGCGGUAAUACGAAGGGGGCUAGCGUUGUUCGGAAUUACUGGGCGUAAAGGGCGCGUAGGCGGUGUGUCAAGUCAGGCGUGAAAGCCCCGGGCUCAACCUGGGAACAGCGCUUGAGACUGGCACGCUCGAGUUCGGGAGAGGAUGGUGGAAUUCCCAGUGUAGAGGUGAAAUUCGUAGAUAUUGGGAAGAACACCGAUGGCGAAGGCAGCCAUCUGGACCGACACUGACGCUGAGGCGCGAAAGCGUGGGGAGCAAACAGGAUUAGAUACCCUGGUAGGCGUAG
RNAcentral lists this ribosomal RNA (447 nucleotides) under uncultured bacterium. RNAcentral's name for it is "bacterial SSU rRNA". It matches the Rfam family "Bacterial small subunit ribosomal RNA", at positions 335 to 799 of the family's 1533-position model. The record is from RNAcentral.